Molecule: long non-coding RNA, 1456 nt
Organism: Symphalangus syndactylus (siamang)
Lineage: Eukaryota; Metazoa; Chordata; Mammalia; Primates; Hylobatidae
Source: RefSeq, a predicted model, not a curated record
CCUGCAUUCUAAUCCCUUUCUGCGUCCUCCUGGUUCUCUUUUUGAUCUCCCACGUCUGUCCCCUCCUCCUUCUAACACCCACCGUACUAUACCCCGCUUUGGAAGCACCUAUUUUCUAAGAAAAUCUUGAGGAAUUUUUUGGAGGCAUUACGUCUUUUUUUGUUUUGAAACUUUUGGAUUGUAAGGAAAACCAGCUGCAGACCAAGCCAGAGGCCCCAGCUCUGCCCCAUCAGCAGAAGGACAGCUGUCUCUAAGGGCAGGACAAGGACCCCCGCCUUGCAGAGGCCAUGGCAGACUGUUUUGUGACAAGGCCGUUGGGGGACAGAUGGAGCUGACAUCCUCCAGAAAUUAGGCUUCAGUCUUUCAGCUGCACUCCUCUUCCUUCAAAAUCGUGGCAAGGAGACGCCUAUUCCCCCGGCGUACUCACGGACCAGCGAGAGCCACUGGGAGAUGCAUCACUGGAUCCCAUCUAAGCACUUUUUGUUCCAUCUCUCUGUGACCAGAGUAUUGUACCACAAUCCCAGUUGUUUGCAAUAAAUGGCUUGUCUUGAUUUUCCAGAUUAUAGCUAGAAGAUUGCCUCAAACGAUGAACUGUAGAAUGGAGCAGGAUGUCUGUGUGUCUGCGUCUUCAUCUGGGUUUUUCAGGCCACUGUGUCUGUGAACUUAGCUCCAUGAAAGCAAGAAGGCUAUGAGAAUUCCGCCAGGGACAAGCCUGGCCUUGGCGCUUCACUGUCCUAGCGUGUGUCUGGCCCUCCCGUUCCUGGCCAAGGCCCACAGCCACCACAGAUGACCUGCUGAUGCCUUUGCUGAAAUCAGUGGCCACUGGCCAACAGCUUGGCAAGAGUGUCAGCUCCCUCCCGACACGAAAUCAGAGGAAAACGCCUCUAGUUUCCAAGAAGCACACAGGGAGCUACUUCUUUACCGCUUGCUCCUGCAGGGUUUCGCUCCCCGAGCCCCGCUCUGCAGGUGCUGGUUUGCCUUCUGAGCCCUGUCCUAACGACACCCUGCGCGUCGCCUCCUGAUGGGCUUUCACAUGCAAGAGACACCGGAGCUGCCAUAACCUUGAGUGGACGUGAGCUUGGCCAGAUUUCACUGUCCAAAUGCCAGGACCCAGGGCCCCGGGGAGGUCCCUGGUGCAUGCGGCUGUGCUCUUGGAGGAUCUUGAUCACUCCGGCACAUUCCUUGCAGCAGUCUGCACUUGGAACAGCAUUUGAUGUGGAAGGAAACACUAGUAUAAUAUCAAGGUGAGGAGACUGAGGCAGAAAGAGGCUGAAGGAUGUGCCCAAGGGAACAGAAGUCAUGAGUAGCAGAGCUGGGCUUGCUAAACAUCGUGUGGUCUUCAAGCUCAGGUCCAUCGGCACUGGAACAAGCCAGGGUAUUAGUUGAGUUCACAGUAGGUCAUGUCAUUUUCCUGCCAAAUUAUCUCAGUCUGGGUACAAAUAAAAUCUCAAUCUGC